RNAcentral lists this ribosomal RNA (505 nucleotides) under Philonthus nudus. RNAcentral's name for it is "partial 16S ribosomal RNA". The stretch from base 382 to 505 matches the Rfam family "Bacterial large subunit ribosomal RNA", at positions 2473 to 2597 of the family's 2925-position model. The record is from RNAcentral. Lineage: Eukaryota; Metazoa; Arthropoda; Insecta; Coleoptera; Staphylinidae.
GUCUUUUUGUUAAUAAUUUAAAGUCUAACCUGCCCAUUGAGUUUUGAAAGGCCGCAGUAUCUUGACUGUGCGAAGGUAGCAUAAUAAUUAGUUUUUUAAUUGAAAGCUGGAAUGAAUGGUUGAACGAGGAAAUAACUGUCUCUAUUUUAAUAUUAGAAUUUUAUUUUUAAGUUAAAAAGCUUAAAUAUUUUUAAAAGACGAGAAGACCCUAUAGAGUUUAAUAAAUUUAUUUAUUUUAAAUAAUUAGAAUUUUAUGUUUGAUAUUUUUAUAUUUAUUUUGUUGGGGUGAUUGAGAAAUUUAAUAAACUUUCUUUUUUAUAUAACGUUAAUUUAUGAUUUAUUGAUCCAUUUUUUAUGAUUAAAAGAUUAAAUUACCUUAGGGAUAACAGCGUAAUUUCUUUAAAGAGUUCUAAUCGAAAAAGAAGAUUGCGACCUCGAUGUUGGAUUAAAAUUUAUUUUUGGUGCAGAAGCUAAAAAGGUAGGUCUGUUCGACCUUUAAAAUUUU